CAUUUAGAGAUGCUUUUAUUGAGGAGUAAUAAUCUUUCACAUUAUUAAUGAUAAAAGACUAAUACAGGCCUGUGUGAUGAGUCAAGUCUGGAUGUUUUUUAGACAGUAACAGAAAUCUGUUUUUUCUUUCCAAGUUUCUGCCCUCAACAUAGGGUCAGACUGAUGCUGAUGCGGCGUUAAACAACACAUCACAUCCCAGUCAUGAGGGUUAAUUCAACAGGGUUUGCACACUUGACUGUUCACCUGCAUUAUUGGAUUUACCGAUCCAACCGGCGACGACACAAUGUGGACCACUCCCCCCAAACUAUAUAGAAAAUGUAUCUAUCUGUUGACUUUUCCCAAAGGUAACUUCCAAGCUGAAUGACAAUAUUUUUCCAAUUUCUUUUUGCAUCUCUUUGUCAAGUUUAUGCUACUACAGUAUUUAUGUAUUAUGUACAUAUUAAUGUUUAAAUGUGUUUUUAUGUAUGUACCAAACCUGCUCCCUGGCAAUACAUCUUUUUCUGAUUUCUGAUUUGUCUUUUCUUUUUAAAAUGCAUUUCUGUGUAUAUUCAGUUUUCCUAAUGCAUAAAUUGUCCUGCUUAAAUAAAGUUUGCUAUUUUCCUGGUA
Molecule: long non-coding RNA, 606 nt
Organism: Perca fluviatilis (European perch)
Lineage: Eukaryota; Metazoa; Chordata; Actinopteri; Perciformes; Percidae
Exons: 2
Source: RefSeq, a predicted model, not a curated record